Molecule: RNA transcript, 2686 nt
Organism: Carya illinoinensis
Lineage: Eukaryota; Viridiplantae; Streptophyta; Magnoliopsida; Fagales; Juglandaceae
Gene name: autophagy-related protein 3-like
Exons: 8
Source: RefSeq, a predicted model, not a curated record
CUACUAAAACUUUGACAGUAACACAACUACUCGGCAAGAGAACCUGGUUUUGUUUAACGAAUUUUGAAAACAGAAGAAGAGCAACUUUUCUUUUCAUUUCUUACGCAAAUAUUAUGUGUCACUUUACUGAAUUCAUCCAUUUUCUCUUCACUUUUUCACUUCCUAAAUUUUAGUAUCCUGAUUCGUUGGGAAUUUUAAACCUCCUUUUCAGUUCCUUGUCUGCAAAGGGUUGCGUCUGUAGAAGAAGAAUAUAAAGCUGUUGGAGGUGAAGUGCUACUUGAUAGUGAAGAUAACGAUGGUUGGCUGGCAACUCAUGGGAAACCAAAAGAAAAUAAACAUGACGAGGAUGAUGACUUGCCUUCCAUGGAGACCCUAGAAAUCAGUCAGAAAAAUCCUAUUCAAUCAAUUCCCUCAUACUUUGGGGGUGAGGAGGAAGAAGAUAUUUCAGACAUGGUUGAGUAUGAUGAACCUGAUAACCUUAUUGAAACGGAUCCUGCGACACUUCAGUCUACAUAUCUUGUGGCUCAGGAACUUGAUGAGGAUAAUAUUCUUCGAACCCGCACUUAUGACAUGAGCAUCAUGUAUGAUAAAUAUUAUCAAACGCCUAGAGUAUGGCUUACUGGAUAUGACGAGUCAAAGAUGCUUUUGCAGCCUGAACUUGUACUUGAAGAUGUUAGUCAAGACCAUGCACACAAAACGGUAACCAUUGAAGAUCAUUCUCACUUGCCUGGGAAUCUGUUCAUCCAUAUCGACAUGGAGCCUUGAUGAAAAAAAUUAUCGAUGUUCUAAUGUCACGUGGGGUUGAGCCAGAAGUUGACAAAUGGGGAAGCUACAGAUUUCGUGAAAAAACCAAGCAACAUAUCCUUACUCCUUAGUAUCUACAAUCGUUCAACUAUACAACAUCCUCAUCCUUUGUAAAUGACAUCCAAAUGAAACUUUUAAUUUAAUAACUUAUGCUAGACUGAGCAGUUGUUGAAUUUGUAUUGUAAGUAGUGUUGUGAAGUUCCUGUAUGCUAAAACGGAGGAAAUCACCUUAUAUGUCGUAAUAAGCACCUCCCCCGCCCGCCCGCCCUCUCGUACGUGUUUAUUGUCAUGAUUUGAUCUACGUGUGGGGAAAUUGUCAGCUGGUAACAGGCCACAAUGUAGGCAUAUGUCAGUUGCAUGCCUUUUUUUAUUAUUAGUGGAAAGUGGAAUUCUCUCCAAUAGAAUUUUUGGAUAACUUCUAAUAUCUAAACCCGCUUUUCCUACAAAAAAAAAAAAUUGGGCGGAUGGAUUUUAUGGUUGAUAAGAUGUUAUUAUAAUUGAGAAAUGAUAUUUGUAGUCGUGUAUUGUGCACGUGUUACGUAAUCUUUUUGAAAAAAAUGAAUAAAUAUAAGAUUUAUAUAAAAAAUAAUUAAAUUUUUUAAUAAUAGAUCUCAUUUUUUUUUUCAAAACGAUUGCGUGACGCUUAUACAUUUUAAGACUGUAUAUAAUAUUACUUGUGUGUAUGCAAUGAAUGUACAGUCUUAUAAGUGAAGUGGUGAUGAUGCGGUAAGAUCUACUAUCAAUUUAUUUUAAAAUUAGAAAAUGAAAGUAGAAAAAGAGGUCGGGUUGUCAAAUCCAAAUAGUGAUGGAAAAUUUUACAAGCUAUACUUGCUUCCACUCUUACCUCACUAUGAGAUUGCAUUGUGCAUCAACUUUUUAAUUUUUUUUCUUUAAAAAAAUAAAGGAUGGUAUAAUAGUUAUUAAAGUGUCACAUUUUACACUAUGAGAUAAAAAUGUAAUUUGUAGAAGUACUCAGAUGAAGAAUGUCACCGUUGGAUUUAGAAUUGCACUUGGUUUUUACAUUUGGAAGUGGAGGGGUCUAAUGUGAUUUAUAUAAGUUGUAAUUAGAAAUGCUACGGCUAUUUCAGAAAAAUAAAUUUAUAAAUUGAUAUAACUUUAUAUGAUAUAUUAAAUUUUUUUUAUACCAAAAGAAUUUUUUUUUUUUUUUUUAUUGAUAUGGAGAUUUGGAGAGGGGAUCGAACCCCCAACCUCACUUUUGGAGGUGGGGCUUCAUGCCAUCAGGCCGUUGGCCUUUGUUUCGGAAUUAAUCUAUGGAAGAGCCAUUGUUUCGGUGCAUCCAUUGCACACAUGAUGUGGUCUAGUAAAUUGACCAAUUUGCCCCUGCAGCUGUGCGUUCCCUAUCAAAUUUCAUUUCACCCAUUUUCUAUACGAAACAAAGCUUCAUCUGCACUCUCCCCCAACCCCCACCGCGGCACUUAGCCCUUAGUCCACCGAAUCUCUUCACAGUUUCAUCUUUCGAUUUCCCCUCACCUCGUCCGAUUUCCCACCUUGUCUAUGUUCUCCUCUCUGCCCAGAAUCUCUUCACAGCUUCAUCUUUCUUCUUCUUGGUUGGGUACCCUUCAAUUUCGUCUGCAGGGAUCUUGGUAUAGAGCUUGAUGGGGAAUAGGGAAGAAAACACAUAUGCCAACCUACCAAUAUGAAAGGCAAAUAAACUCAAGACCAAGCUAGAUUGGAAAUUAUUUUGUUGUGAUUUGUGCUGUAAUUAUUUUGUAUUUGAAAAACAAUAAUGUAUGUCAGUCAGUGCUAAGAUAUGGAUAUUAGGUCAUUUGUAAUGUUGUAAUAUUUGUAAGACAUCUUGGAAUGUAACUUUGAAUGUUACUUACAAAAACAUGUUUAUACCGUAAUUGUUUACUUUGCAUUC